This 425-nucleotide ribosomal RNA is filed under the name uncultured archaeon. Its description in RNAcentral is "bacterial SSU rRNA". It matches the Rfam family "Archaeal small subunit ribosomal RNA", at positions 575 to 997 of the family's 1478-position model. The record is from RNAcentral.
CGGGGGAUACUGCCAGACUUGGAACCGGGAGAGGUAAGAGUACUACAGGGGUAGGAGUGAAAUCUUGUAAUCCCGUGUGGGACCACCUGUGGCGAAGGCGUCUUACCAGAACGGGUUCGACGGUGAGGGACGAAAGCUGGGGGCACGAACCGGAUUAGAUACCCGGGUAGUCCCAGCCGUAAACGAUGCUCGCUAGGUGUCAGGCAUGGCGCGACCGUGUCUGGUGCCGCAGGGAAGCCGUGAAGCGAGCCACCUGGGAAGUACGGCCGCAAGGCUGAAACUUAAAGGAAUUGGCGGGGGAGCACAACAACGGGUGGAGCCCUGCGGUUUAAUUGGACUCAACGCCGGACAACUCACCGGGGGUCGACAGCAAUAUGUAGGCCAAGCUGAAGACUUUGCCUGAAUCGCUGAGAAGUGGUGCAUGG